RNAcentral lists this ribosomal RNA (707 nucleotides) under Helochares sp. SLE0034. RNAcentral's name for it is "partial 16S ribosomal RNA". The stretch from base 1 to 533 matches the Rfam family "Bacterial large subunit ribosomal RNA", at positions 1927 to 2925 of the family's 2925-position model. Lineage: Eukaryota; Metazoa; Arthropoda; Insecta; Coleoptera; Hydrophilidae. The record is from RNAcentral.
AUGGCUGCGGUAUUUUGACCGUACAAAGGUAGCAUAAUCAUUAGUUUUUUAAUUGAAAACUUGUAUGAAUGGUUUAAUGAGAAAAAUUCUGUCUCUGAUUUAUUUGUAUAGAAUUUUAUUUUUAAGUUAAAAAGCUUAAAUUUAGUUAAAGGACGAGAAGACCCUAUAGAGUUUAAUAAUAUUUUAGUUUUAUACAUUUAAGAAUUUAUUUGUAUUUAAGCUUAAAAUAUUAAUUUGUUGGGGUGACCAAAAAAUUUUAUAAACUUUUUUUAUUAAUUUACAUUUAUUUAUGAUUAUUUGAUCCAUGUUUUAUGAUUAAAAGAUUAAAUUACCUUAGGGAUAACAGCGUAAUUUUUUUGGAGAGUUCUAAUCGAUAAAAAAGUUUGCGACCUCGAUGUUGGAUUAAAAUUAACAAUUGGCGUAGUAGUUAAUUUGUUGGGUCUGUUCGACCUUUAAAAUUUUACAUGAUCUGAGUUUAAACCGGUGUGAGCCAGGUUGGUUUCUAUCCUUAAUUUGUUAAAAUAUUUUAGUACGAAAGGACCAAAUAUUUAUAAAAUUUAUUUAUAAGGGAAUAUUAGUGUUACUUUGGCAGAUUAGUGCAUUAAAUUUAGAAUUUAAAUAUGUAUAUUAUACAAGUAAUACUUGAUUUUUUUGGAUUUACUUUUAACAUUAAUUAGUAUAUUAAUUUUAGUUAUUUGUGUGUUAGU